UUUUUGUCUCCUCGACUCUUACUCCUGCGGACCUAGAUAUAGCCGACGCUGCUGUCCACACGUGGCCGCACUGUAGCAGCCAACUCCACGCGCAGGUGGCUGGCCGACUCCAUCUCCAUAGAUCCCCCAACUCCUCCAUCUCAGCUUUUCCAAGAACGCAGCAUACCACCAGUUCGCACAUGCGACAUAGAGGUGGAGAACGAUGAUGCAGCGUGCGGCGGCGCGCACGACCAGGAUUAUGGCGGCACAAACAUGCAGCAAGGCGGGCACAGACCACGACGAGGAGCAGGACCGCGUCGUCGACGCGACGACCACGCCAAACAACCAACCGUUAGGGGGAUAGCAAGUCCAGUCUCUUUGCGGCAUUUCAAAGUGCUCUUGAUGAUGAGGAUAAACUAUGGAUGUGUCCGAGCCUAUCAUAACUCGGAUUGUCAUGCGGCGAAGAAAGAAGAUGAUGCCUAGAAGAAUACCUCCAUUUGUAAUGAGAUUGUGAUGUCCUUAUGUCUUCUGGCUGUAAGAAACUAAGGUUGAGAUAUUAUGUUGGCUAUUCCUAUGUCAUUUUCUAAUAAACCAUGCCUGAGAAAUUAUGUUGCUAUUUUUAUAUAUGUCAUUCUGUAAGGAACUAAGGCUGGAAU
Triticum aestivum (bread wheat) is the source of this 635-nucleotide long non-coding RNA. RefSeq lists it as uncharacterized. Lineage: Eukaryota; Viridiplantae; Streptophyta; Magnoliopsida; Poales; Poaceae. The transcript is spliced from 3 exons. The record is from RefSeq and is a predicted model, not a curated record.